Molecule: long non-coding RNA, 1200 nt
Organism: Columba livia (rock pigeon)
Lineage: Eukaryota; Metazoa; Chordata; Aves; Columbiformes; Columbidae
Exons: 2
Source: RefSeq, a predicted model, not a curated record
ACGAUGCAACUCCUACAUUCCACAAGUGAAUAGUUGUAAACGGGUCAUACUUGCAGGGAGGUGCAAAUGGAACAGGUGACCCAAACUGACCAACGAGGUACUCUGUGCCACAUGCGUCAUACACGGUUUAAAGCCGGGAGGUCGCGGGGGCCUUGCUUUCUUCGUCCAUGGCCGGCGUCUGAAGAGGACCCUGCCCGUUGUCCUGCCUGCGAUCCCGAUCCUGGUUCCAGUCCGUGCAUUCCUGAAUCCAGUUCCCAUCUGCUAGAAUUCCAGUCCGGGAUUUCCGGGUGUCCGCCCUGCAGCCGCUGGCGCGACGCCAGCCCCCGCGAUUCCGUCAUCGGCGGGAGAUUCAAUGUUAGGAUAAAGUCUAUUUUUCACAUCCCUCACUCAAGGAAUCACAGCAGUUGGUAUUGCUGGGUUUUACUGAUCCCACAUCAGUCCCUACCCAACAUCUGAAUUCAUGGAUGGCAGUGGUACCCACAGCUCACCCUACAGCCAGGUGUGAUUUACCAUCCAGCGGUGCUUUACGCAUUGCACAGGCACAUACUACUGCAUGCACACAUGCCAUUUUCAGCACAGUUUUCCUUGUCUCAGUCAGGGUUCCACACAUGCUCCCCAUCCUGGGCACCCGGCUGGCUGUGCCCAAGGCCAGGAAGGAGCCCAGUGAGGCUCCUCAGCUGUAACUGGGAGCUACUUUCAAGCUGGGGCUUUCACUUCUGGCCCUAUGGCCACGCUGUGGCUGUGCCUGUGUCCCACCUGACAACCCUCCAUGCUGACCUUGACCCAUUGUCUUGCCUUCCCAGCUCUGCCUGUGACCUGCCUCGUCGCUGAGGACUUCUCCUGAAAACCUCGAAGCAUCAGAAAUCUGACACAAAAGUGCUGGGUGGCUGGACCCACCUACUGAGACACGUUAUUUUUGUUAAACAAGUAGAGUUGUGCAAAGCAUGCUGAAAGAUGCAGUUUCCAGGCAAGGGCAACAUCUGGCUUGUUUAAUCACCAUUUUAUCGGUGAUUUUAUUUGGUUUAGAGAGAAAAAAAAAAAAAGAAGAAAAUAAUCUAACAGUACUAGAAGUUUUUUCAUGCUCUUUGUAGACCAGUUCCAGAAAGCUGUGACAUUAUUUUUCAUGUUUGUUUGCUUGUACCAAAGUGAUGCUGAGAAUUAAAGUCUUUGAUUCCAGGCCAAGACCUGGAGGAGAAGAUG